UACGUAGGGGGCAAGCGUUAUCCGGAUUUACUGGGUGUAAAGGGAGCGUAGACGGCUGUGCAAGUCUGAAGUGAAAGGCAUGGGCUCAACCUGUGGACUGCUUUGGAAACUGUGCAGCUAGAGUGUCGGAGAGGUAAGUGGAAUUCCUAGUGUAGCGGUGAAAUGCGUAGAUAUUAGGAGGAACACCAGUGGCGAAGGCGGCUUACUGGACGAUGACUGACGUUGAGGCUCGAAAGCGUGGGGAGCAAACAGGAUUAGAUACCCCAGUAGUCGACGACU
This 279-nucleotide ribosomal RNA is filed under the name Dorea formicigenerans. RNAcentral's name for it is "partial 16S ribosomal RNA". It matches the Rfam family "Bacterial small subunit ribosomal RNA", at positions 524 to 802 of the family's 1533-position model. The record is from RNAcentral. Lineage: Bacteria; Bacillati; Bacillota; Clostridia; Lachnospirales; Lachnospiraceae.